RNAcentral lists this ribosomal RNA (486 nucleotides) under Potamon elbursi. RNAcentral describes it as "partial large subunit ribosomal RNA". It matches the Rfam family "Bacterial large subunit ribosomal RNA", at positions 1922 to 2613 of the family's 2925-position model. The record is from RNAcentral. Lineage: Eukaryota; Metazoa; Arthropoda; Malacostraca; Decapoda; Potamidae.
AUUAAAGGGCCGCGGUAUUUUAACCGUGCAAAGGUAGCAUAAUCAUUAGGUUUUUAAUUAGAAUCUUGUAUGAAUGGUUCGACAAAAGAAGUUCUGUCUUUGUAUUAAAAUUUGAAUUUAACUUUUAAGUGAAAAGGCUUAAAUAUAUUAAAGGGACGAUAAGACCCUAUAAAACUUUACAUUGUAAUUUUAUUUAAUUAAAUUUAUAAAAUAAAAAUUUGAUUUAAUUAUAUGUUAUGUUGGGGAGACAGAAGUAAAAUAAAUUUUAACUGCUUUAUGUUAAAACAUAUAUUUAUGAAAUAUUAAAUGAUCCUUUAUAAAGAUUAAAAGAUUAAGUUACUUUAGGGAUAACAGCGUUAUUUUUUUUGAGAGUUCCUAUCGAAAAGAAAGUUUGCGACCUCGAUGUUGAAUUAAAAUAUCUUUAUGGUGCAGAAGCUAUAAAAGAAGGUCUGUUCGACCUUUAAAUUUUUACAUGAUUUGAGUUCA